AAGAGAUCAAUGGGUUAAACCAUCCAUGUUUGUGGAGAAUAAGGGCACGGUAUGAAACAAGAACCAACGUUUAUGAUGUAAAGUACUAAAUCAUAAACGAUAUCGUAUACAUUCGAGACUUAAGAUACAUGUAUGGAGGGCUGAUGUUAGUUGAACUAUAUAUGAUGCCCGAAGUGGUGCAAGUUCAAUUUAGUAAACGAUAGUGUAUACAUUCGAGACUUAAGAUUAGUUUAUAGAGGGUUGAUAUUGGCUAAUUUUAUGAAUCCCAAAAGAUGUGAAAUUAGAACCGAGAUUGAAACAAUUUGCAAUAGUUGGACUAAUUCUUGGGAGUUUAUUUUUUACAAUGGAAUGGUAGUAAAUGUUUGACAGAAGGAAAUGAUCAGUUUGGAGACAAAUGGAUCAUACAACGUCUACUGGUAUCAGCCGUCAUUGAACUGGUGUUCUUUUUAGUAGCAUUUCAAACAGAGGAGUUCCGACUCAUUGUUUAAAAUUCCAAAUCGAUUACAAUUUUCUUUUUCCUAUAUGUACUAUCAAGUGGUCUGUUGAAAUAUACAACAUUGUCCCUCUUGGAGACAGAGGGACGGACAUAUAUCCAUCUCUUAUACCUCUUAUUGUGCUGAUUUGUCACAUUAUUUGCAAAGGAUCUCGAUUACAGCAUAUCAUCAUGGUAACCACUGGUCUGCUGUCUUAAGGCGCAUUGUUUGUAUCGCUUGGUGUAAAUAAAGAUUUCACCAUGAAAAGAAUAGAUUACUUAUCGUUUUCCUCUGUAUUUGCAACUGUGUUGAAGCUGAUAUGCCUUAAACAUUUUAAAGAUAAAAAUAUCAAGGUCACACUACGUUUGAGAGCUAUUGGUAUAUUUUUUGCCGGAACUAUUGCAAUGUGCCGAUUCUAGAAUUCACGAAUCAUUCUAACUUUGGAACUUUUACGCUAGUGUCAUCUAUGUCUGGUUUAGCUUAUUAUACAAUCACGUGAUAUGUACAAAAACAGUUUUAGAGACAUCCGGGUUUCUCAUGAUGGGAUACCUAUUGCAUCAAAUAUUAGAAAGUGAAUCAAUAAAUAUUCUUCCAGUUUUAUUUGGUACUUGUUAUUUGAUUGCGACAUAUAUAUGGCACGUGCAACAGCAACUAGACGAUUCAAAAGCACUAUUUAAAGAUAUGUCGUCCACGAGUCAUGAAAUGUUUACCCGAAUUGAGUUUAUAAUAUUCAUGGGAGGUGUAAUAGUCGUGUUGUUUUACGUGUUACAACCACGUGUUAGUAGUAGGGAUAUAAAUAAUCUUAGUUAUGUUGGACUAGCCAAGAUUGUUAGGAAACUAUUGAGGAACAAAGUCAGUUGAUAAAUGUAUAGAGAGAGUUUGUUAAUUUAAAUGAUUUAGUAUAUUA
Long non-coding RNA from Mytilus californianus (California mussel), 1380 nucleotides. RefSeq lists it as uncharacterized. The record is from RefSeq and is a predicted model, not a curated record. The transcript is spliced from 3 exons. Lineage: Eukaryota; Metazoa; Mollusca; Bivalvia; Mytilida; Mytilidae.